GGGAUAACAUCUCUAAUAAGUCACAUGGAUGGUAUUUCCGAGUUCAUCAGUUGAAACUUACAGUAAAUAUUAUUUACAUAUUAUACUUAAUGUUCACAUCAAGGUACUUUAGUGAUAUUCUAUCAUUAUGGUCUACGCAUUAUUGAACUUUGAUGGCAGCUUAACUUUAUGGACAUUAUCAGCCUAAGAUUCCAAAUUAGGUCCAUAAGUACCAACCAUAAAA
Molecule: long non-coding RNA, 223 nt
Filed under: Olea europaea (common olive)
Lineage: Eukaryota; Viridiplantae; Streptophyta; Magnoliopsida; Lamiales; Oleaceae
Description: long non-coding RNA (OEUR_LNC000258)
Source: RNAcentral